CCUACGGGGGGCUGCAGUAAGGAAUAUUGGACAAUGGCCGAAAGGCUGAUCCAGCCAUCCAGCGUGCAGGAAGAAGGCCCUAUGGGUUGUAAACUGCUUUUAUCAGGGAAGAAACCUGUGGAUUUACUCCGCAGCUGACGGUACCUGAAGAAUAAGCACCGGCUAACUCCGUGCCAGCAGCCGCGGUAAUACGGAGGGUGCGAGCGUUAUCCGGAAUUACUGGGUUUAAAGGGUGCGUAGGCGGCUAUGUAAGUCAGGAGUGAAAGUUUGCGGCUCAACCGUAAAAUUGCUUUUGAUACUGCAUAGCUGGAAUUAGGAUGAGGUCAGCGGAAUGUGGCAUGUAGCGGUGAAAUGCAUAGAUAUGCCAUAGAACACCAAUUGCGAAGGCAGCUGACUAGACCUGGAUUGACGCUGAGGCACGAAAGCGUGGGGAGCGAACAGGCUUAGAUACCCUUGUAGUC
Molecule: ribosomal RNA, 461 nt
Filed under: uncultured Bacteroidota bacterium
Lineage: Bacteria; Pseudomonadati; Bacteroidota
Description: bacterial SSU rRNA
Rfam family: Bacterial small subunit ribosomal RNA
Source: RNAcentral